This 557-nucleotide ribosomal RNA is filed under the name uncultured archaeon. RNAcentral's name for it is "bacterial SSU rRNA". It matches the Rfam family "Archaeal small subunit ribosomal RNA", at positions 1 to 563 of the family's 1478-position model. The record is from RNAcentral.
UUCCGGUUGAUCCCGCCGGAGGUCACUGCUAUCGGGGUUCGAUUAAGCCAUGCGAGUCGAGAGGGUUCGGCCCUCGGCGUACUGCUCAGUAACACGUGGAUAACCUGCCCUAGGGAAGGGGAUAAUCCCGGGAAACUGGGGAUAAUACCCUAUAGGUUACAGAUGCUGGAAUGCUCUGUAAUCAAAAGUUCCGGCGCCCUAGGAUGGAUCUGCGGCCGAUUAGGUUGUUGUUGGGGUAAUGGCCCAACAAGCCAGUAAUCGGUACGGGUUGUGGGAGCAAGAGCCCGGAGUUGGAUUCUGAGACAUGAAUCCAGGCCCUACGGGGCGCAGCAGGCGCGAAAACUUUACAAUGCGGGAAACCGUGAUAAGGGAACACCGAGUGCCAGCAUCAUAUGCUGGCUGUCCAGAUGUGUAAACUACAUCUGUUAGCAAGGGCCGGGCAAGACCGGUGCCAGCCGCCGCGGUAACACCGGCGGCCCGAGUGGUGACCGUUAUUAUUGGGUCUAAAGGGUCCGUAGCCGGUUUGGUCAGUCCUCCGGGAAAUCUGAUAGCUUAAC